Molecule: ribosomal RNA, 119 nt
Filed under: Capitella teleta
Lineage: Eukaryota; Metazoa; Annelida; Polychaeta; Capitellidae
Source: RNAcentral
GUCUACGGCCAUACCACGUUGAAAACACCGGUUCUCGUCUGAUCACCGAAGUUAAGCAACGUCGGGCCCGGUUAGUACUUUGAUGGGUGACCGCCUGGGAAUACCGGGUGCUGUAGACU